This 635-nucleotide long non-coding RNA is filed under the name Homo sapiens (human). Its description in RNAcentral is "novel transcript, antisense to ZNF804A". The record is from RNAcentral. Lineage: Eukaryota; Metazoa; Chordata; Mammalia; Primates; Hominidae.
GCGAGUGGGAGCGCCCCGCGCGGCGCCGCUGCCGCAGAGGGCCGGGGACGCGACGGCCACCGCCAAGUGGGAGACUCCUGGAAGCGAAUCCAGGCCGGUGCCAGCAGCGGCUUCUUUCUCAAGAUAAUUGCUAUCCACUGGGAUAAAGCUCAAUAUCCAGUUCAGGAAAUGGGAAACACUGAUAUAUGACUCAUCCCAUGGAACAGAAUAUAGUCUACGUGGAAUGUCACACUGUGCUUCUAGUGGCAAAGUUUGCAUAUAUGUAUGUAUCAGUGUAUCUUUAAAUUUGCCUUUGUGUUGCAAGCACUUGUUAUAUCCUUCCUAUUAUUCCUAUUAUUUAAAUCAAUUUUUAUUUUGCAAGACUACUGGUAAAGAUUUUGGAAUGAAAUGUUUCUGGGGAACCGAGUCACCCUAAUUUAAAAAAUAAAAAUAUCUCAGUAAUUUGGACAAUAGGUUUAAUGUAUGAGGUUAAAUAUAUACCUGCUUAUUAUAAAUAUGCAGAAUCAUUUCUUGUUUAGAAAAUAUUUCAAAUAUUUUAUGGAAUAAUUACAGAUUAUUUGUGUUCAGUUGGCAAUGUUCUAGCCGAACAACUUAUAAUUAAAAAUGUAAAUAAAGAAGUGUCAUUAGUCUAAAAA